CCUUCUGAUUGUAGGAAGUGAAGUGCAGGGAAAUGACAUAUUCAAAGAAGCUGCCGUUAACACUUUGUAGUUCCUUUAUGCAUUAACUCUUGAUCAUCAGUGUAAAGUAAAACAUUCCUUGGCUCAGUGCAAACAGGACCAUGAGGAAUGUAUUCAGCUGUCUUAUUCUGGGUCUUGGGCUUGUCAUGUACUGUGGAGAUGGAAAAAGUAAAGAAAUAACGAUCCCACCCCAACUUGUGCCAGCAAAUUUCAGUGAAAAGAGUAUGUUAUGUGGUGACAAUGUUAAACGUCGAGGGAUCUCCAUGUGCUCCUGUGAAAAAGGAUACCAGAGGAUAUUUAGGAAUGUAAUGUAUGGAAUGCCUGAAACCAGUUGUGAAAGAAUUUCCGGUCACCCACCGAGAAACAUACCAUGGGAGAAUUACAAUGAAAAAAUGUGUUUAAAUACAACAAAAGCAGAUAAUGCAAAUGAUGCCAGAAACUUCUACUGUGGACUCAUAAAUGACACCAUGGAAUCUCCCUUUGGUAACAACAAUUCCUUAGAAGUAAGACUUCUUAAGAAUGUCAAACAUUUGACCACAACUUCUCCUUCUUGAGAAUCC
Molecule: long non-coding RNA, 599 nt
Organism: Anolis carolinensis (green anole)
Lineage: Eukaryota; Metazoa; Chordata; Lepidosauria; Squamata; Anolidae
Exons: 5
Source: RefSeq, a predicted model, not a curated record